RNAcentral lists this unclassified non-coding RNA (431 nucleotides) under soil metagenome. RNAcentral's name for it is "partial contains 5.8S ribosomal RNA, internal transcribed spacer 2, and large subunit ribosomal RNA". The stretch from base 1 to 119 matches the Rfam family "5.8S ribosomal RNA", at positions 35 to 154 of the family's 154-position model. The record is from RNAcentral.
GAUGAAGACGUAGCGAAAUGCGAUACGUAAUGUGAAUUGCAGAAUUCAGUGAAUCAUCGAAUCUUUGAACGCAUAUUGCGCUCUCUGGUAUUCCGGAGAGCAUGCUUGUUUGAGUAUCAGUAAACACCUCAACUUCCAUAUCUUUUUUGAAAUGGGAGUUGGACUUGAGUGAUCCCAACGCUUUUCCUCACCGAAAAGUGGCGGGUUACUUGAAAUGCAGGUGCAGCUGGACUUUUCUCUGAGCUAUAAGCAUAUCUAUUUAGUCUGCCUAAAAAACAGAUUAUUACCUUUGCUGCAGCUAACAUAAAGGAGAUUAGUUCUUGUGCUGACUGAUGCAGGAUUCACAAAGACGGCUUCGGCCGACUUUGUAAACUCGAUCUCAAAUCAAGUAAGACUACCCGCUGAACUUAAGCAUAUCAAUAAGCGGAGGA